UACGUAGGGGGCAAGCGUUAUCCGGAUUUACUGGGUGUAAAGGGCGUGUAGCCGGGCUGACAAGUCAGAUGUGAAAUUCCGGGGCUCAACCCCGGACCUGCAUUUGAAACUGUUGGUCUUGAGUAUCGGAGAGGCAGGCGGAAUUCCUAGUGUAGCGGUGAAAUGCGUAGAUAUUAGGAGGAACACCAGUGGCGAAGGCGGCCUGCUGGACGACAACUGACGGUGAGGCGCGAAAGCGUGAGGAGCAAACAGG
RNAcentral lists this ribosomal RNA (253 nucleotides) under uncultured bacterium. RNAcentral describes it as "partial 16S ribosomal RNA". It matches the Rfam family "Bacterial small subunit ribosomal RNA", at positions 524 to 776 of the family's 1533-position model. The record is from RNAcentral.